Molecule: long non-coding RNA, 1836 nt
Organism: Ictalurus punctatus (channel catfish)
Lineage: Eukaryota; Metazoa; Chordata; Actinopteri; Siluriformes; Ictaluridae
Source: Ensembl
GAAACACAGAGUGAGACCCUGCACCUCAGGCUGCACAGUUUCCCCCUUCAGUCACUCAUCUCCUGUGGGUUCCCCCUUCAGUCACUCAUCUCCUGUAGGUUCCCCCUUCAGUCGCCGAUCUCCUGUGGGUUCCCCCUUCAGUCACUCAUCUCCUGUAGGUUCCCCCUUCAGUCACUCAUCUCCUGUGGGUUCCGCCUUCAGUCGCCGAUCUCCUGUGGGUUCAAUCCUGUCACUCAGGACAGAACGAGGUCCAAAAAAUGACCUGUAAUUAUACAUCAUUACACACGACUCUGAUAUUUCACUGAAAGAUAAGUAAUAAGUAUUUCUAGAAGCUCACUUGAAGUGAAGCUAAACCUCUGGUCCUAAAUGUUACAAAUCUGAAGCUUAGGAGAACUCAACAGUCAGCUCACGUCCGUUUCCUGAGACGAUGAAGCUCUGUGAUCACGUUACAGAAGGAAAAAUGUUUGGUCGUUUUUCUCCUCGGAAAUGAGAAUUGCAGUGCAGACAGUUUAAAACCGCUGCAGUGGCUUUUUGUUUUGAACGGAACAGUUUUUCUUAGCCACAAACCUAUAUUCAUGACCCCGAAUGAUUUUUAAAAAAAAAAGAAAAAGAUGUCACCAGUCUUGUGAAAGAUAUUAUGAACAUCAAAGUCUUCAUUUUAAAACACUAAACACCAGUUUAACCGCAACCAAUGAGCUGCUAGAGAGACAUUUUCCACUGGCGUGGACCAAUCAGAUUACAGAACACACGAGCGCAUGAAAGAUCUUCAGCAGCACGAGCCGCUCAGCACCAGUGUCUGAGAUGGAGACAUCAAGAGUCGCUCUCAUCGCUCUCGUGUGUGUUGUGUUCUCCGGUCAGAAGAGGAUCUCUGGAGCAGAAGUGGAGACGAGAGUCAGACGAGGAGACGACGUCACUCUCUACUCCGACUGUGUUGUGAAAAGUGGAUUUUAUCCAGUGUGGUUCAGGAACUGCUCACAUCAGGAUCAACCUCGUCUGAUGAUCUCACAGUCAGAUGUGAUGCAUGAUGUUUUUCCACGUCACUCGUUUGUGUUUAAUGUCUCCACCAACGUACACGAUCUUCAGAUUAAGAAGGUCACAGAAUCAGAUCAGGGCGUGUACUACUGUGCUCUACAUGAGAUAAAGAUUGUAAUAGGAAAAGAUGGGAUUAUAAUGGACAGGGAUGUGUAUCACUAUGGAAACAGAAUGACUCGACUCGCUCUACUCGAAGAAGCUACUGUCUCUCCGAACACCCCGACCCCGUGUGUAUCAGAGUGGAGUGUUAGCUGGAAGCUGGUGUUGGGUGUGUGUGCUGUGUGUGUUCUCCUCUCCUCACUCCUCUCCUCCAUCUGUGUGUACUGCCUCUGCACAAACACCACUAAAGCAAAAGUGAAAGCAGAUCAGGCAGGAAGUGACAAAAGCAUGACUGGGAGACAUGACGAGGAUGGAGAAGACGAGGUCUGUUACGCCUCGCUGGACAUCCAGAACCCCGAGAAGAAGAGGAAGAGGAAGAGGAAGAAGAAAGUUCAGCACUCUGAUUUCAGCACGUAUUCAGAGGUCAGAACCGAGAGACCUGAGAGUCGUGAAGGAGGAGAUCAUGACGUCUGGAAGCCGUAUUAGAUCACAGCGUGUUCUUUUGACAAACUGCUUUUCACAUCCUUCGUGAGGAUUAUAAAGAGUGAAGUCAAUUUUAAAUGCUUGUGCUUCGUGUUUUUAUCGCUGAUGCCUGGUUCGUUGUUUUUUAAAUUCAUUAUAAAUAGCAAAAUUGGCCGAAUUGUUAAAACUAUUUAUAUUAAAAUACCUGAUGUGAAAAAAUAAAUGCACCGUAUUCACUGCUCA